RNAcentral lists this non-coding RNA (46 nucleotides) under Marmota monax (woodchuck). It matches the Rfam family "Histone 3' UTR stem-loop". From Rfam's summary of the family: The mRNAs of metazoan histone genes lack a poly-A tail. 3' end processing occurs at a site between a highly conserved stem-loop (modelled by this family) and a purine rich region around 20 nts downstream (the histone downstream element, or HDE). Lineage: Eukaryota; Metazoa; Chordata; Mammalia; Rodentia; Sciuridae. The record is from RNAcentral.
AAAAAGGCUCUUUUCAGAGCCACUUACACAAGUCAUGAAAAGGGUG